Molecule: non-coding RNA, 123 nt
Organism: Triticum aestivum (bread wheat)
Lineage: Eukaryota; Viridiplantae; Streptophyta; Magnoliopsida; Poales; Poaceae
Source: Rfam
CUACUACUCCCUCCGUUCAAAAAUACUUGCCGGGGGAAUGGAUGUAUCUAGACGCAUUUUAGUUCUCGAUAUCCAUUUUUGUGUAUUUCUUCAACAAGUAUAUUGGAACGGAGGGAGUAUAAU